UUUUCCUGAGUCCUUGUCACUAUAAAUUGAUCUCAUUAGACCUCUAAAGCAAAACAGAAUCAUGUCUGGCCAGUAAUUGGAUCGGAGACCUCCCAGGAAAACAAGUUCUGGAGGAA
Molecule: ribosomal RNA, 116 nt
Filed under: Chelonoidis abingdonii (Abingdon island giant tortoise)
Lineage: Eukaryota; Metazoa; Chordata; Testudines; Testudinidae
Source: RNAcentral